This 72-nucleotide transfer RNA is filed under the name Camelus bactrianus (Bactrian camel). It matches the Rfam family "tRNA". From Rfam's summary of the family: Transfer RNA (tRNA) molecules are approximately 80 nucleotides in length. RNAcentral also lists the same sequence under 2 other names. Lineage: Eukaryota; Metazoa; Chordata; Mammalia; Artiodactyla; Camelidae. The record is from Rfam by way of RNAcentral.
GAGGGUGUAGCUCAGUGGUGGAGUGCAUGCUUAACAUGCAAGAGGUCCUGAGUUCAAUCCCUGGUACCUCCA